This 179-nucleotide non-coding RNA is filed under the name Clostridium paraputrificum. RNAcentral describes it as "T-box sequence". It matches the Rfam family "T-box leader". Rfam says of the family: Uncharged tRNA acts as the effector for transcription antitermination of genes in the T-box leader family. T-boxes are found upstream of many aminoacyl-tRNA synthetase genes and some amino acid biosynthetic genes usually in Gram-positive bacteria. The anticodon of a specific tRNA base pairs to a specifier sequence within the T-box motif, and the NCCA acceptor tail of the tRNA base pairs to a conserved bulge in the T-box antiterminator hairpin. Lineage: Bacteria; Bacillati; Bacillota; Clostridia; Eubacteriales; Clostridiaceae. The record is from RNAcentral.
UAUUAAGCUGUGAAGAGGAUUAGUAGAUUUUGUUUUUCUAUUUAGAGAGAAAGUGGUUGGUGAAAACUUUCUAGAAAAAGUUUCGAAGCUGCCUUGGAGCUAUAAGUAUACUAAGUGAUGCAUUUUAUUUUGUGCGUAAUUAGGGUGGUACCGCGGAAGUUUAGCCUUUCGUCCCUUAU